AGAGUUUGAUCCUGGCUCAGGGUAAACGCUGGCGGCGUGCCUAAAACAUGCAAGUCGCACGGUCCUUCGGGACAGUGGCGGACGGCUGAGUAACGCGUGGGUGACCUACCCUCUGGUGGGGAAUAACUGCCCGAAAGGGUGGCUAAUACCGCAUGAGCUCUCUUCAGUCAGUGGAGAGAGGAAAGCAGGAAUGUGCCAGAGGAGGGGCCCGCGUCCGAUUAGUUAGUUGGUGGGGUAAUGGCCUACCAAGACGACGAUCGGUAGCUGGUCUGAGAGGAUGAUCAGCCAGACUGGGACUGCGAACGGCCCAGACUCCUACGGGAGGCAGCAGUUAGGAAUUUUGGGCAAUGGCCGAAAGGCUGACCCAGCAACGCCGCGUGGGUGACGAAGGCCCUCGGGUCGUAAAGCCCUUUUCUGGGGGACGAUGAUGACGGUACCCCAGGAAGAAGCACCGGCUAACUACGUGCCAGCAGCCGCGGUAAUACGUAGGGUGCAAGCGUUGCCCGGAUUUAUUGGGCGUAAAGCGCGCGCAGGCGGUGACGUGCGUCCCGUGUGAAAUCGCCCGGCUCAACCGGGCGAGGUCAGGGGAAACGACGUGACUGGAGCGAGGGAGGGGGCAGUGGAAUUCCCGGUGUAGUGGUGGAAUGCGUAGAGAUCGGGAGGAACACCAGUGGCGAAGGCGACUGCCUGGACCUCUGCUGACGCUGAGGCGCGAAAGCGUGGGGAGCGAUCCGGAUUAGAUACCCUAGUAGUCC
This 755-nucleotide ribosomal RNA is filed under the name uncultured bacterium. RNAcentral's name for it is "bacterial SSU rRNA". It matches the Rfam family "Bacterial small subunit ribosomal RNA", at positions 8 to 796 of the family's 1533-position model. The record is from RNAcentral.